CAGAGUACACCUGCCCUAUGGGUAGAACUCUCACCCUUGAAUACUAUACCUUUUGUUACUUUGGCGGCCCCUCAGGGCUCUCGCGAGUUCUGUACCGCCAAAGGCCCUUAAACUCUUGAAUAUUUGUCGUCUGAGUACUAUAAAAUUUAUUA
RNAcentral lists this unclassified non-coding RNA (152 nucleotides) under uncultured Leotiomycetes. Its description in RNAcentral is "sequence contains ITS1". The record is from RNAcentral. Lineage: Eukaryota; Fungi; Ascomycota; Leotiomycetes.